Juglans regia (Persian walnut) is the source of this 108-nucleotide small nucleolar RNA. Lineage: Eukaryota; Viridiplantae; Streptophyta; Magnoliopsida; Fagales; Juglandaceae. The record is from RefSeq and is a predicted model, not a curated record.
UACCCAUGGUAAGGACACAUACUCAACAACUCCUUAAACCUCUUUCAAGCUUGAUACAAAGUCUCACUAUCCUUUUGUACAAAUGUGGAGUUUUGCCUCUUUAACGCA